Molecule: long non-coding RNA, 594 nt
Organism: Haliotis rubra (blacklip abalone)
Lineage: Eukaryota; Metazoa; Mollusca; Gastropoda; Lepetellida; Haliotidae
Exons: 3
Source: RefSeq, a predicted model, not a curated record
UAUGUUAAUAAGAGGCCAUGGAGUGCAUACAAAAACGGACCAGAUGACAAAAAGCAAACACAUUCUGAAAAGGUCUUCAUUGCCUCGUACCAUCCACAAGAUGAGCAUGUCUACACAGACAGGUGUUCGGCUAGGGUUUCUGUUUUGAUAGCAUUGUUGGAUGGCGUGGUUGACAGUUGCUUUGGACCGGCACUGCGAGAUCUACAGUGUACAUUCAACGUGACACUACAGAAGGUCAGUCUACUCCACCCUGUCAUUACAGCAGGUAGGGUGUUAGGUACACUGCUUUUUUUGAAAAUCCCAAGUCGUUUCAACACCUACCGAGUAGCAGCCACUACUAUGGCCACAACGUGUUUGUAUGUUUGCUGCUGUGCCUAUCAUCCCCAUAUUUUGUAACGAACUAGUCUUGUCUGGCGGAGUUGGACUGGCCAAUGGAAUAACAAUAUAUGGAACAUAAUGGAUUUUUCCUUAGGCUAUCAGUAUCCGUCACUUUGAACAUUGCACUGUUUUGUCUCUUUCGACGUAUUAACUGUGAUAGUAAGUGUAGCCGCCAUAUUAAAAGUGCCGCCUUAUGAAAUUUUGUACAAAAGCUGA